Molecule: unclassified non-coding RNA, 117 nt
Organism: Callithrix jacchus (white-tufted-ear marmoset)
Lineage: Eukaryota; Metazoa; Chordata; Mammalia; Primates; Cebidae
Rfam family: Metazoan signal recognition particle RNA
About the family: The signal recognition particle (SRP) is a universally conserved ribonucleoprotein. It is involved in the co-translational targeting of proteins to membranes. The eukaryotic SRP consists of a 300-nucleotide 7S RNA and six proteins: SRPs 72, 68, 54, 19, 14, and 9.
Source: Ensembl
GCUGGGUGUGGUGGCUCACACCUGUAAUCCCAGCACUUUUGGAGGCUGAGAUGGGUGGAUCACCUGAGGUCAGGAGUUCGAGACUAGCCUGGCCAACAUGGUAACACCCUAUCUCUU